CAUUCGAUAAAAACAUGCCACCUGGAUGAUGUUUCCUAAAAGAAUAACAGACAUAUGAAAUGAUUGCUCAAACUAGAGACAAACUUACCUAGUUUUUUUAAUCCAAAUUAUAAGUUUUUCUGAAAUUUAUAACUUAUAUGUGAAUACAUAUAUACUAUAACAUAAAAUGUAUUUGUCUAUAUUAAACGCGAUAUCAAAUCGUUAUCAAAUCGUUAUCAAAUCGUUAUCAAAUCGUCGUACGUCAAUCCUCUCCUCCAUUUUACUUGAUAUAAAAACAUUUGGAUAGAUCAGAAAAAGAAAAAGAAAAAAAAAAAAAAAAGAAAAAGAAAUCAGAAAAACUUCCUUAAAUGUUUGUACAUAAUCGACGAUUCGAUUAUUUAAAACACGAACAGAUCUGUUGACGUUACGAGAAAAUAUCGUGAAAUGGCAAAAAUUAUUCUUCUCCAACUUGAAGUUCCUAUAAAACACGCACGUACGUAUAUACACACGGGAACACACACACACGUACAUACAUACACAAAUAUAUAGAAAGACAAACUUUUGUGAGAGUUUACACAAUUUGUGUAAAAAGGUAGAAAAUGUUGAAACGACAGAAAGAAUAAUUUAUAACGAUUGUUAUAACAAAAAUCCAUCAAACUCGCAAGGGAAAUAAUAUUACAUUUUUCUUUUGAAAUGUUCAUCGGGAAGCAUAUACCAAAAUUUACAAUCUUGUACAACAGUAACAAAGUGUUUAAGAGUUGAGGAAGAGAACAAUCCGAUGACAGCGACGUACGAUUUGCUAUACGAGUAUUACAUUAACGAUGUGUUGUCGAUAUAUCAAAAAAAAAAAAAAAAAAAAAAAAGAAAAAGAAAAAAUAAAUAAAACAAAAUUAAACAAAAAAUAAAUAAAUAAAUAUUUAUAAAAAAAAAUAAAUAAAUAAAAUAAAAUAAAGAAAGACAAGAAAAAAAGAAACAAAUGUGAAGGGGGUAGGGGGUGGGUAGGAGGUGGAGACAAACAACGGAUCCUAUGUAAGUUUCUUGGGCGAAACUCUUUCCUCUUGAAGGAUAUCGCAAAGAUAAAAAAGAAGUGUAACGAAAGUCACCUGAAAUAUUAAUCUCACCUGCCGUAUUAUAAAAGAGUUUCCAAUUUUGCAGAUUACGAAGUGCAUGACCCCACAUGAAAGAUCCGAGUUUAUGGAAAGCUCCGGAACGAACGUCUCGAUGGAGAAAACAUUAAAAAACGCACAUACACACACAAACAUCGUAGAAUUUCGUUACAAACGUAAUCGUCGAAACUCGUCUGUUAUCACAAAGUCAUUUCACCGGAAAUUCAUCCGACAUCCCUUGAAUAGCUCUUUCGUAAAAAUAGAUGGAAACUUUUCCUCGGUAAAAAGCACAACCUGCUUAAAAUGGUAAGAGAGACACGCAACAAUACAAAAAAUAAAACACACAACGACCACAGCA
This is a long non-coding RNA of Vespa crabro (European hornet), 1443 nucleotides long. RefSeq lists it as uncharacterized. The transcript is spliced from 2 exons. NCBI's taxonomy places the organism in Eukaryota, Metazoa, Arthropoda, Insecta, Hymenoptera, Vespidae. The record is from RefSeq and is a predicted model, not a curated record.